RNAcentral lists this ribosomal RNA (232 nucleotides) under uncultured bacterium. RNAcentral's name for it is "partial 16S ribosomal RNA". It matches the Rfam family "Bacterial small subunit ribosomal RNA", at positions 100 to 334 of the family's 1533-position model. The record is from RNAcentral.
CGGGACGGGUGAGUAAUGUCUGGGAAACUGCCUGAUGGAGGGGGAUAACUACUGGAAACGGUAGCUAAUACCGCAUAACGUCGCAAGACCAAAGAGGGGGCCUUCGGGCCUCUUGCCAUCGGAUGUGCCCAGAUGGGAUUAGCUAGUAGGUGGGGUAACGGCUCACCUAGGCGACGAUCCCUAGCUGGUCUGAGAGGAUGACCAGCCACACUGGAACUGAGACACGGUCCAG